RNAcentral lists this ribosomal RNA (253 nucleotides) under uncultured bacterium. RNAcentral's name for it is "partial 16S ribosomal RNA". It matches the Rfam family "Bacterial small subunit ribosomal RNA", at positions 524 to 776 of the family's 1533-position model. The record is from RNAcentral.
UACGAAGGGGGCUAGCGUUGUUCGGAAUUACUGGGCGUAAAGGGCGCGUAGGCGGUGUGUCAAGUCAGGCGUAAGACCCGGCCCUGGCACCAGGAGACCGCGCUUGAGACUGGCACGCUAGAGUUCGGGAGAGGAUGGUGGAAUUCCCAGUGUAGAGGUGAAAUUCGUAGAUAUUGGGAAGAACACCGAUGGCGAAGGCAGCCAUCUGGACCGACACUGACGCUGAGGCGCGAAAGCGUGGGGAGCAAACAGG